RNAcentral lists this long non-coding RNA (957 nucleotides) under Gossypium barbadense (sea-island cotton). Its description in RNAcentral is "long non-coding RNA (GBAR_LNC017397)". Lineage: Eukaryota; Viridiplantae; Streptophyta; Magnoliopsida; Malvales; Malvaceae. The record is from RNAcentral.
CACAACACCCAAAUCUUACCUAAUGUCGUUUGUUUGGUGCUUUGAUGUCCUGAGAAGCUUGUGAAUCACUCGACCCUUACUUCCAUGUCAAUUGGGUCUUUAUAUCUUCAUCCUACACACUCAAUUAAACAAAUUAGCACAACCUAAGGCCUGUGUUGGCUUAUUAGGUCAUAACACCUACAAAAUGUGUUAAAAAACACUUAUUUUAUUAAUUUUCUAUCCUAAAGCCUAAAUACUGAUGUAAGAGGCCCAAUUUGCCCGGGCCCAAAAUCACAAAGAAAUAAAAACCAAAAAAAUAAUUAAAUGUUCACAAAGUCCAAUUACAAAAAGAAGCCCAGAUUCUAUUACCCUAAUUACAAAUCAGCUAAAUCUAACCCGAACGGCCCAAAUCCCUAGCCCGUUUCUAGAAACCCAGCCCAGUUGCAUUGAAGCCCAAAACAAAAAACACAAGCAGAAACCCUAGGGCAUCUGCAAACUCCAGCCGCCGCAUGUGGAAACCAAUUUCGUCUACGCGCGUGUGCUAGCAGUCACUGUCCCUCCGCACGCACCAGGCGCGUCCUUCCUCUAGGUUGGCUGAGCACCGUACACCUGCAACACAAACGAAAAAAUGAACGCAACGCACACAGCAACAGACAACAAAAGCAGAAUAGCAGAGAAAAAGGGGAUUUUUAGAAAAAAAAUCUUGUAAAAGCUUGAUUUAUUCCCGGCUAUAUAAAAGCCGUUUUGGAAUUUGUAAAAAGGGGGGAUCCUUUUUUUUACGCAUUCAAUAUAAAAAUUGAGAAUACAGAGAAAAAAAAGCAGAGAAAGGUGAUUUUCGGGAGUUUUUUGUUCUUUUCUAUUUUUCUUCGCUGGUUACUUGAUUUUUUUUGUUGCUUUCUUUUGCUAGUUUUUUAGAUUCAUCAAUCGUUUUAUAAAAGAGAAACAAAAAAAAGGGGGAAGUUAGGACUCGUACCUGGC